GUGCUCGCUUCGGCGGCACAUAUACUAAAAUUGGAAUGAUACAGAGAUUGGCAUGGCCCCUGCGCUAGAAUGACACGCGAGUUCAUGAAGCGUUCCAGAGUAAA
Myotis daubentonii (Daubenton's bat) is the source of this 104-nucleotide small nuclear RNA. The record is from RefSeq and is a predicted model, not a curated record. Lineage: Eukaryota; Metazoa; Chordata; Mammalia; Chiroptera; Vespertilionidae.